AUGCGACAAAAGGUUCGCUGCUCCUUUCUCUUCCUCGGCGCCGCCGGAUCUGCGGCAGCUCCUGCCCAUGGUCCCCUGCCGCGCCGAGGGAGCACGGCGCCGCUGAGAUGCGGGGCGAUGCACUGCCGCCUACUGCGCCCUUGGCCUUCUCUCAUCCCCUGCCCCUCCCUCCUCUUCGGCGACGGCGAGCUCUACGAGUCGGGGGCCUCCCCGCUCGUCUUCCUGAUCCAGGGCGGCGGCAUGAACCUCUCCCGCGUCGGCGAGAAUCUCCUCAGCUCCGUCUGCUGCGCGCGCUCCCUCGCCCUCCUCCCUCCGACCCAGCCCCUUCCCGUGUUGAGGUUCCAGCUCGAGCUGUUGUUGCGGCGACGGCUAGAUUUGAUGUCACUGAAGUUCUAA
This 396-nucleotide ribosomal RNA is filed under the name Triticum aestivum (bread wheat). RNAcentral describes it as "partial small subunit ribosomal RNA". Lineage: Eukaryota; Viridiplantae; Streptophyta; Magnoliopsida; Poales; Poaceae. The record is from RNAcentral.